GACGAACGCUGGCGGCGUGCCUAAUACAUGCAAGUAGAACGCUGAAGGAGGAGCUUGCUUCUCUGGAUGAGUUGCGAACGGGUGAGUAACGCGUAGGUAACCUGCCUGGUAGCGGGGGAUAACUAUUGGAAACGAUAGCUAAUACCGCAUAAGAGUAGAUGUUGCAUGACAUUUGCUUAAAAGGUGCAAUUGCAUCACUACCAGAUGGACCUGCGUUGUAUUAGCUAGUUGGUGGGGUAACGGCUCACCAAGGCGACGAUACAUAGCCGACCUGAGAGGGGGAUCGGCCACACUGGGACUGAGACACGGCCCAGACUCCUACGGGAGGCAGCAGUAGGGAAUCUUCGGCAAUGGACGGAAGUCUGACCGAGCAACGCCGCGUGAGUGAAGAAGGUUGUCGGAUCGUAAAGCUCUGUUGUAAGAGAAGAACGAGUGUGAGAGUGGAAAGUUCACACUGUGACGGUAUCUUACCAGAAAGGGACGGCUAACUACGUG
Molecule: ribosomal RNA, 495 nt
Filed under: uncultured bacterium
Lineage: Bacteria
Description: partial 16S ribosomal RNA
Rfam family: Bacterial small subunit ribosomal RNA
Source: RNAcentral